GACGAAGGUGGCGACCGUUGUUCGGAAUUACUGGGCAUAAAGCGCACGUAGGCGGCAAUGUAAGUCAGGUGUGAAAUCCCCCGGCCCAACCGGGGAAUUGCGCUUGAUACUGUGUUGCUUGAGGGCAGGAGGGGACCGUGGAAUUCCUGGUGGAGCGGUGAAAUGCGUUGAUAUCUGGAGGAAUACCGGUGGCGAAGGCGGCAUCCUGGACCGAGAUUGACACUGAGGAGCGAAAGCCAGGGGAGCAAACGGG
This 253-nucleotide ribosomal RNA is filed under the name uncultured bacterium. RNAcentral's name for it is "partial 16S ribosomal RNA". It matches the Rfam family "Bacterial small subunit ribosomal RNA", at positions 524 to 776 of the family's 1533-position model. The record is from RNAcentral.